Molecule: transfer RNA, 76 nt
Filed under: Candidatus Kentrum sp. TUN
Lineage: Bacteria; Pseudomonadati; Pseudomonadota; Gammaproteobacteria
Description: Candidatus Kentron sp. TUN tRNA_Lys_TTT
Rfam family: tRNA
About the family: Transfer RNA (tRNA) molecules are approximately 80 nucleotides in length. Their secondary structure includes four short double-helical elements and three loops (D, anti-codon, and T loops).
Source: RNAcentral
GGGCCGUUAGCUCAGUUGGUAGAGCACCGGACUUUUAAUCCGUUGGUCGAAGGUUCAAACCCUUCACGGCCCACCA